GAUGAAGAACGCAGCGAAAUGCGAUACUUGGUGUGAAUUGCAGAAUCCCGUGAACCAUCGAGUCUUUGAACGCAAGUUGCGCCUCAAGCCAUUAGGUUGAGGGCACGUCUGCCUGGGCGUCACAUAUCGUUGCCUGAUGCCAGUUUCCUCGUGAUGGGUGACUGUGCAGGGCGAAUGAUGGCUUCCCGUGAGCAUUGUUGCCUCAUGGUUGGUUGAAAAUUGAGUCCUUGGUAGGGAGCGCCGUGAUAGAUGGUGGUUGAGUGACGAACGAGACCCAAUCAUGUGAGACCCCUACCGAAUUUGGCCUUCAUGACCCACAUGCGUCUUUGGAACGCUCAUGACGAGACCUCAGGUCAGGCGGGGAUACCCGCUGAGUUUAAGCAUAUCAAUAAGCGGAGGA
RNAcentral lists this unclassified non-coding RNA (400 nucleotides) under soil metagenome. Its description in RNAcentral is "partial contains 5.8S ribosomal RNA, internal transcribed spacer 2, and large subunit ribosomal RNA". The stretch from base 1 to 122 matches the Rfam family "5.8S ribosomal RNA", at positions 35 to 154 of the family's 154-position model. The record is from RNAcentral.